Molecule: ribosomal RNA, 214 nt
Filed under: uncultured bacterium
Lineage: Bacteria
Description: partial 16S ribosomal RNA
Rfam family: Bacterial small subunit ribosomal RNA
Source: RNAcentral
CCAGUUCGGAUCGCAGGCUGCAACCCGCCUGCGUGAAGUUGGAAUCGCUAGUAAUCGCGGAUCAGCAUGCCGCGGUGAAUACGUUCCCGGGCCUUGUACACACCGCCCGUCACACCAUGGGAGUUUGUAACGCCCAAAGUCGGUGGCCUAACCUUUAUGGAGGGAGCCGCCUAAGGCGGGACAGAUGACUGGGGUGAAGUCGUAACAAGGUAUC